GAUGAAAUCACAAUAAUCUAGAUCGUGGGAUAUUCGUCGUGGUUGUGGUGGGGCUGCUAUUCUCCUGCUAAUUUUACACUCUCGCCAUCCUGGAUACCGAAGGAAUAUGAAGAGGCGUAAUGCUGAUAUAGCCAAACUGAGGAGACCUCUGAAGAAGGCGAAAAUUGGGGAUGGGGUGUAUGGAAGCACAUUUGCGUACCUGAAGAUGGUGAUGCUAUGGACCGCAGUUCUGAUGUGUGACUUCCUCUUUGAGCUGAGGUUUGAAUACUUCUGGCCAUUCUGGAUGUUUGCCAGAUCAGUCUACGACUCAUUCAGAUACCAGGGGCUGGCGUUCUCCUUGUUCUUCGUCUUGAUGACUCUGACAUCGGACAUGAUCUGCUACAUAUUCAUACCAGUCCACUGGCUCUUCUUCGCUGCAAGCACAUACGUCUGGGUGCAAUAUGUGUGGCACGCAGGUGAGAUAGCCUCUACUAACGG
Pollicipes pollicipes is the source of this 477-nucleotide long non-coding RNA. RefSeq lists it as uncharacterized. The record is from RefSeq and is a predicted model, not a curated record. Lineage: Eukaryota; Metazoa; Arthropoda; Thecostraca; Pollicipedomorpha; Pollicipedidae. The transcript is spliced from 3 exons.